This 468-nucleotide ribosomal RNA is filed under the name uncultured Thelephoraceae. RNAcentral describes it as "eukaryotic LSU rRNA". The stretch from base 114 to 268 matches the Rfam family "5.8S ribosomal RNA". Lineage: Eukaryota; Fungi; Basidiomycota; Agaricomycetes; Thelephorales; Thelephoraceae. The record is from RNAcentral.
CUGUAGUUCUAUGGCAUGGGGACUCUGUCCUCCUGCUGUGGUUCUGCAUCUUUACGACACACAAUGUGAUAGAGUCUCAUGGAAUGUACACCGCGUUUAACGCAAUACAAUACAACUUUCAGCAACGGAUCUCUUGGCUCUCGCAUCGAUGAAGAACGCAGCGAAAUGCGAUAAGUAAUGUGAAUUGCAGAAUUCAGUGAAUCAUCGAAUCUUUGAACGCACCUUGCGCCCUUUGGCUAUUCCGAAGGGCAUGCCUGUUUGAGUAUCAUGAACACCUCAACUCUCAUGGUUGCCAUGAAGAGCUUGGACUUUGGGGGUUUUGCUGGCCUGAGGUCAACUCUCCACAAACGAAUCAGCUUGCCAGUGUUUUGGUGGCAUCGCAAGUGUGAUAACUAUCUACGCUUGUGGAUUCCACCAGCAACCUUCAGUGAUAUGAAGGUUCGCUGGAGCUUAUAAAUGUCUCUAUCA